GAUGAAAAACGCAGCGAAAUGCGAUAAGUAGUGUGAAUUGCAGAAUUCAGUGAAUCAUCGAAUCUUUGAACGCACAUUGCGCCCCUUGGUAUUCCAUGGGGCAUGCCUGUUCGAGCGUCAUUUGUACCUUCAAGCUUUGCUUGGUGUUGGGUGUUUGUCCCUCGGGACUCGCCUUAAAGUCAUUGGCAGCCAGUGUUUUGGUUUUGAAGCGCAGCACAAGUCGCGAUUCAAGGCUAUCCGCCCGCUUCCACAAGCCUUUUUCACUUUUGACCUCGGAUCAGGUAGGGAUACCCGCUGAACUUAAGCAUAUCAAUAAGCGGAGGA
This 324-nucleotide unclassified non-coding RNA is filed under the name soil metagenome. Its description in RNAcentral is "partial contains 5.8S ribosomal RNA, internal transcribed spacer 2, and large subunit ribosomal RNA". The stretch from base 1 to 120 matches the Rfam family "5.8S ribosomal RNA", at positions 35 to 154 of the family's 154-position model. The record is from RNAcentral.